Molecule: ribosomal RNA, 511 nt
Filed under: uncultured bacterium
Lineage: Bacteria
Description: bacterial SSU rRNA
Rfam family: Bacterial small subunit ribosomal RNA
Source: RNAcentral
GAGAGUUUGAUCCUGGCUCAGAGUGAACGCUGGCGGCAGGCCUAAUACAUGCAAGUCGAACGGCAGCACAGCAGAGCUUGCUCUGUGGGUGGCGAGUGGCGGACGGGUGAGGAAUACAUGGGAAUCUGCCCAGUCGUGGGGGAUAACGUAGGGAAACUUACGCUAAUACCGCAUGCGCCCUUCGGGGGAAAGCCGGGGACCUUCGGGCCUGGCGCGAUUGGAUGAGCCCAUGUCGGAUUAGCUAGUUGGCGGGGUAAUGGCCCACCAAGGCGACGAUCCGUAGCUGGUCUGAGAGGAUGAUCAGCCACACUGGAACUGAGACACGGUCCAGACUCCUACGGGAGGCAGCAGUAGGGAAUAUUGGACAAUGGGCGCAAGCCUGAUCCAGCCAUGCCGCGUGAGUGAAGAAGGCCCUCGGGUUGUAAAGCUCUUUUGUCCGGAAAGAAAAGCGCCGGGUUAAUACCCUAGUGUCCUGACGGUACCGGAAGAAUAAGCACCGGCUAACUUCGUG